CUUUUUAUAGGCAGAGGAAGCAACAGAUUGAUAGCGACGUUUGUAACCGCCUAGUAGUGAGCCGCACAGGGCCAGGAGGAAUUUAUCAUGAAGAGUAAUGGGGUGGAGUCGUGGCUAGUUGUGGCCGUCACCAUGGCUCACCAUAUGGAAUCAGUUGCAAAGAGUGGAGCGGCGUCCGUUGUCGCGACUCGUCAGGGAGUGGUGGAGCCGCGUGGGAUCCAU
RNAcentral lists this long non-coding RNA (222 nucleotides) under Elaeis guineensis (African oil palm). RNAcentral describes it as "long non-coding RNA (EGUI_LNC055621)". The record is from RNAcentral. Lineage: Eukaryota; Viridiplantae; Streptophyta; Magnoliopsida; Arecales; Arecaceae.